This 220-nucleotide long non-coding RNA is filed under the name Linum usitatissimum (flax). RNAcentral describes it as "long non-coding RNA (LUSI_LNC007901)". The record is from RNAcentral. Lineage: Eukaryota; Viridiplantae; Streptophyta; Magnoliopsida; Malpighiales; Linaceae.
CCUAAGCAAUUUCAUGCUAAUCACCUGUUUCUAAUUCAAAGUAUAGGAUGUGCAUAUGGAUUUUAGUGUCGAUUGAUAAGUAGAUGAUCGUCUGACGGUCUGAAGAGUUGAGAUUGCGUGUUUAAGCUUGCCAACAAUUUCUCUCGUAAAGGAGAUGGUCUUUUACUUGUAUGGCUUUAUUUGUUUAAUGCUCCUUGAUAUCAAUUUGUCUCUACAAAUU